RNAcentral lists this non-coding RNA (79 nucleotides) under Nitrosospira sp. RNAcentral's name for it is "SAH sequence". It matches the Rfam family "SAH (S-adenosyl-L-homocysteine) riboswitch aptamer". Lineage: Bacteria; Pseudomonadati; Pseudomonadota; Betaproteobacteria; Nitrosomonadales; Nitrosomonadaceae. The record is from RNAcentral.
CAUGCCGAGGAGCGCUGCAACGGGCACAGUCCCGUGAGGCUCGGCACGGAAGGAUCGCAACAAACGGCGCUCGCUCAUC